GAGGGGUGCAAACGUUAUUCGGAUUUACUGGGUGUAAAGGGUGUGUAGACGGGUUGUUAAGUUCGUUGUUAAACCUUCCGGCCUAACCGGAAGCUCGCGAUGAAAACUGGCAGUCUUGAGGAUGGAAGAGAGAAGUGGAAUUCUCGGAGUAGCGGUAGAAUGCGUAGAUCUCGAGAGGAACACCGAUGGCGAAGGCAGCUUCUUGGUCCAUUCCUGACGUUGAAACACGAAAGCGUGGGGAGCAAACAGGAUUAGGUACCCUGGGUAGUCCACGCCGUAAACGAUGAUCACUAGAUGUUGGCUCUGUUUUUGCAGAGUUGGUAUCGAAGCUAACGCGUUAAGUGAUCCACCUGGGGAACCACGAUCGCAAGAUUA
This 375-nucleotide ribosomal RNA is filed under the name uncultured organism. RNAcentral's name for it is "partial 16S ribosomal RNA". It matches the Rfam family "Bacterial small subunit ribosomal RNA", at positions 527 to 896 of the family's 1533-position model. The record is from RNAcentral.